AGAGAUGGCGAAUACUAAUGAGCUCAUGUUUAUCCUUCAUUGCCUUCUUUUAGUCCACCAAAGGUGCAGCCUCUCUCCUCUAGCUCAGAGUGUUCCCCACAACCUGAGAAGAUAAGCCUGGCAGAUCUCACAGAGCCUGGCCACAUUCCAGAGCUUCUCCUGGACACUGCUGUCCCUCUCUCUGAGGAGGCCCCUGACGGCCCCACUGCCUCCCACCCACGGGACCUCCCAGAAGACCUGAUACAAGGCGAAGCGGCAGAAGUACCACAAACCAUAGGGGAAUCAGUCGGAGUAGAAGAAGAGGUGGAAGAUGAGGAACAAACAUGGGAACGAGAGCGAAAAGGAAGAGAAGAACGAAGGCAAAAGGAGCAAGAGGAAGCCAGGGAGAGAGAGCUGCAAGAACUUAAACGUCUGGAGCAGGAGAUGCUUUUGGAAGAGAGGGAGCAAGUGGAACAAGACAAGAAAAAAGAACCAGGAGGAGAUGAAGAAAAGAAGCAAGAGGCAGAUGAUGAAGAGGAGGAGUCUAAAGGUGAAAAUCCACUGGACAAAUAUAUGAAGAUGGUCCUGGAAGCCAGAGAGAAGCAGCAAACACAGGUGAAUACGAUGCACAUGACCUUUCUGACUGUAGACCUGUGGCUGCUGGCCUGACUGUUUGCCUUUUAUUUUGUUUGGCUUUUCAGAGUCUCGUAAGAGAAGAGGCAGGACACACAAGCCCAGAAGCAAAGAGCUCGUCUGAGGAGAAAGAACAC
Molecule: long non-coding RNA, 749 nt
Organism: Parambassis ranga (Indian glassy fish)
Lineage: Eukaryota; Metazoa; Chordata; Actinopteri; Ambassidae
Source: Ensembl